UACAAGCAAUCUCUUCCUACAUAGCUCUACAAAGUAAGUCAGCGGGUUUCUCCCCAUUUGUUUGCCAGGUAUUAUUCAUUAAUCUCUUCCAUAAAUAAUUGAUCUUGCUUAAUUUAUAUUUUUGUCGCUUCAUUUAUAUGUUUUCCUAGAGAGUAGAGGCCCAACUUGUAACUCCUUAGAGCCCGCUCUGCCGUAAGAUAUUACGGUAUAUGACGGUUCCCAGCAGGUUAAGUUGCAAGUUAUUAUAUAGAGUUGGUUGGAUGUCUUUUAUUUUUAUAAAUAUUGUUAAUAGUUAGUUGGAUGAUGAAUGAUACUUGCUAGGGGCUUUAUAUUCGGCCCUCCAAUUGUGUUA
Long non-coding RNA from Magnolia sinica, 352 nucleotides. RefSeq lists it as uncharacterized. The transcript has 2 exons. The record is from RefSeq and is a predicted model, not a curated record. Lineage: Eukaryota; Viridiplantae; Streptophyta; Magnoliopsida; Magnoliales; Magnoliaceae.